Felis catus (domestic cat) is the source of this 1269-nucleotide long non-coding RNA. RefSeq lists it as uncharacterized. The transcript has 2 exons. The record is from RefSeq and is a predicted model, not a curated record. Lineage: Eukaryota; Metazoa; Chordata; Mammalia; Carnivora; Felidae.
ACAAGGGGAAGCAUAAGCUUACAAACACUCAGCUUCCCAGACACUUUUACCUUCUUUCUUGGUUGUGUGUGCGUGUGUGUGUGUGCGCUCACAUGAGUGCAAGAAUUAAACAAGAGUUCCAGAAUGUAGGCAGAGGAAAAAGUCAGUCCAGUCUCCUAACUCUAUGCAUGAGAAAACUACUCCAGAGAGGUUAAACAGGGUAUUGUAGGUCACGGAGCUGGGCCAGGACAGAAAAGCGUGAACAACUGGCCCAAUCCCCUAAGUUUGCAUAUGAAGAGACAGGCCCAGCAAAAUGGACAAACUUCUCUUUCUAUGCUUCUGGGGGCUAUAAAGGGUUGUUAUUCUGUCUUCAAAUGUUCUGGGAUGCUGACACCACUUGCCAAAAUGCAUUACCCUUCAAAUGGCAUGGGUCAAGUUCAGAUGACUUAAGGACACUGGCCUCUGCUGCUAGACCUCCGUGACUCUGAGUAGGUACCAGGACCUUUUCAGUCCUUGUGGAAAAAGAAACGGCUUCUUUUCCUUGGCAAGAAUCCAUAGAUGUUAAUUACUGGAGACACCUUGGCCAAUCCAGUUUUGCCACUGUAUAGUGUGGCACCUUAACUCAACAACAGAUCUUGAGGAAGUCCCUUCUUCUCUCAGGGCCUCAGGGACUUGAUUAAGUGAUCAUUAAAGCUCCUUCUUUGAAAUAGCAAUACUUUAUUAUAUUCGGAAAGCAAUGGAUUCACUCUAGUACAAUGUGACAUCUGUACAUCAAUGUCUAACUCAAAUUCUACAGUGAAAUAUGCCUUGCUCUUUUUGACUUUGGUGUAGGUUGAACUGGUCUGUUUUUACCUUUAUUUCAUAAACAUAAAGAUAUGAACUUGGUUGGUCCCGGACAGCCACACAAUCGAAUGAUACUGCCUAAAUGUGCCCAUGUGCAUGUAUCCUUAGCCAGCAACUCAAUCUGUACGUUCCAGAUUCCUGCUACAUCCCUUGUCUACCCAAAAGCACUAUCCUGGGCAUACGUGUCACGGCAAUAACUAGUUUGCAGUUCUGGACCAGUGUACCCGAAACAAACUGGGAGUCACUCCAAGCAAGUAGCUAUCACAGUAUCUACAUCUCAGAAGUGACAGCCGGAGCUCCAAGCAUCUAUCUUGAGCUAAGAUGUGACCUUGUGGACAAAAUCCAUGUGCUGAGGAAGGUGGGGUUGAAAAAGAAGCCUGAACCCCUGAUUCCAGGCCUAUGUCCAAACUCUUUUUAGGUGAGAGAGAAAUAAAUGAUCAUAUGGAA